GGCUGCAACUCGCCUACCAUGAAGUCGGAAUUGCUAGUAAUCGCGGAUCAGCAUGCCGCGGUGAAUACGUUCCCGGGCCUUGUACACACCGCCCGUCACACCAUGGGAGUCGGUAACACCCGAAGCCUGUAGUCUAACCGCAAGGGGGACGCAGUCGAAGGUGGGAUUGAUGACUGGGGUGAAGUCGUAACAAGGUACC
RNAcentral lists this ribosomal RNA (199 nucleotides) under uncultured bacterium. Its description in RNAcentral is "partial 16S ribosomal RNA". It matches the Rfam family "Bacterial small subunit ribosomal RNA", at positions 1303 to 1500 of the family's 1533-position model. The record is from RNAcentral.